Molecule: ribosomal RNA, 341 nt
Filed under: uncultured bacterium
Lineage: Bacteria
Description: bacterial SSU rRNA
Rfam family: Bacterial small subunit ribosomal RNA
Source: RNAcentral
GAGUAACGCGUAGGUAACCUGCCUUGUAGCGGGGGAUAACUAUUGGAAACGAUAGCUAAUACCGCAUAACAAUGGAUGACCCAUGUCAUUUAUUUGAAAGGGGCAAAUGCUCCACUACAAGAUGGACCUGCGUUGUAUUAGCUAGUAGGUGAGGUAACGGCUCACCUAGGCGACGAUACAUAGCCGACCUGAGAGGGUGAUCGGCCACACUGGGACUGAGACACGGCCCAGACUCCUACGGGAGGCAGCAGUAGGGAAUCUUCGGCAAUGGGGGCAACCCUGACCGAGCAACGCCGCGUGAGUGAAGAAGGUUUUCGGAUCGUAAAGCUCUGUUGUAAGUC